Non-coding RNA from Neolamprologus brichardi, 813 nucleotides. Lineage: Eukaryota; Metazoa; Chordata; Actinopteri; Cichliformes; Cichlidae. The record is from RefSeq and is a predicted model, not a curated record.
GUUCUCGGAGAUUCGCCCCGGGUUCGUGCGGCAGGUUCGGCUGUGCUGAGCGGCGGCACUGCGGACCGGAUCAAAGGAUCAGACGUAAAUAAACGGCAGGUGCCGGUGAUGCGCUGAAGCCCCGCCCCUCCUCCGCUGGCACCGUAGCUGUUAUUUAUGAAUGCCCGCCGCUCACGGGCGUGUGCGCGCGCAGUCCUCGUUAUUAUUAUUAUGUUUUAAUAACGGAGACCGGACACCGAUCCAGGCAGAUGUGCGGCUCAGUGCCGGAGCCUGCGAUGCCCGCUCCGCGCGGUUAGAUUCCCGCUUCGGUCCGCUGUGUUCGACGAUAAUACUGGGUCGAUACACCGAACACAGAGCCGUUCGCCGGCCCGCUGCAGCCACAGGAGCCGCCUCACCCCGUCAACCGACAAGGUGUGUUGCUGCAGCAACGGCUGACAGAUGAUGCUCUUUUGAGAGUGGGUGGGGCUACGUGGCCCUGAGGCCUUAAGGAGGAGUCUCAGCCCUAAGCUCCUCCCCUCUCUCGUCCCGAGACAGACCAAACGGACGGACACACAGACGGCUGUAACUCUCCCCUCCCUCCUCCUCCUUCCCCCCUCUCUCCCCUGUUCUCCCCUCCACCUGGCCCCUCCUCCCGGCCACCCUCCCCUGUCUCCCCCCUCGUCCCCUGCCACCAUGCUGUGGUCACGCUGCUGGUGGAGAGCCUGAGGAAGCAGACUCUGGAAGGCGACCCUGCUCAGCCAGGGGACUUUUACCUGUCCCUGCUGGACCCGAAAACCCUCGCAGAGUGCUGGCGCCCAGAUGGCUUGAUGCCUG